UUAGCUGAAACCAAAUUAGAGGUAAAUCACUGUUAAUGAUUUAAUUGAAUAUUCCUGCUGUU
This 62-nucleotide transfer RNA is filed under the name Pseudoniphargus daviui. Its description in RNAcentral is "tRNA-Asn". Lineage: Eukaryota; Metazoa; Arthropoda; Malacostraca; Amphipoda; Allocrangonyctidae. The record is from RNAcentral.